This 318-nucleotide long non-coding RNA is filed under the name Hordeum vulgare. RNAcentral's name for it is "long non-coding RNA (HVUL_LNC017626)". Lineage: Eukaryota; Viridiplantae; Streptophyta; Magnoliopsida; Poales; Poaceae. The record is from RNAcentral.
GAGAGGUGGUUUCCGGCGGCGGCGGCGUCGGCGCCGUCGAGGAGGGCGCGGAGGGCCUCGGCGGCCGCGGAGGGGGAGGCAGCGGAGGAGGAGCGCGUGCCGGCGAGGCCCCGCAGCGGGUUGGCCGCGAAGGCGUGGGCGCGGAGGUGGAUGGACAUGGCGAGGGAGGCACGGCGGCCGGCGGCCGCCCGGGUUCGCGUUGGUUGGUGACGCUCUGCCUCUACCUCGCCGGCCAAGGUUGUUGGGUUGGUUGGAUGGACUGAAAGCAGCUGGGAAAGAGGCGAUACAUGUGUCUAUGCCAUGUGGGGCCACCUACCG